CCAGAAUCAUCAUGACUUUCAGUCUUUGAUAUGUGACUUGUUCUUUCUAGAACCUUAUGAAAAAUAUCCAACCCGAGCAGGAUAAAACUGAUCAUCCUGAGGAUAUUGCCCUUGGAGUUAAUUUUUUGAGAGAAAUAAAACAAUAAACAUCAUAAGACACAAACCCCAAGCAACUGAUCUCACUGUUAAAAUCCAACCUGAGAACAAUGGAAUGGACCAUACUGUCUUUGUCACAACUCUGCCAUUGCAGCGUGAAAGCAUCCAUAGACGGUACACAAAUGCAUGGAUGUAGUUGUACUCCAGUACAACUGCAAAAAGCAGACAGCUGGCUGGGUUUAGCCUACGGGCCAUAGUUUACACAACUCAAUCUAGGUGAUUGCCUGGUAACUUUGUGAUUGUAAACAGGAAAGAAAACCCAUGCACUGAAAUCUUAUGGCUAUAUUUGGUUGUAAGUUGGCCAUCCGGAUUCAA
Molecule: long non-coding RNA, 471 nt
Filed under: Homo sapiens (human)
Lineage: Eukaryota; Metazoa; Chordata; Mammalia; Primates; Hominidae
Description: HSALNT0310659
Source: RNAcentral